RNAcentral lists this ribosomal RNA (255 nucleotides) under uncultured bacterium. RNAcentral describes it as "partial 16S ribosomal RNA". It matches the Rfam family "Bacterial small subunit ribosomal RNA", at positions 524 to 776 of the family's 1533-position model. The record is from RNAcentral.
UACAUGGGGUGCAAACGUUGCUCGGAAUUAUUGGGCGUAAAGCGCACGUAGGCGGUUCGUUAAGUCGGAUGUGAAAGCCCUCGGCUCAACUGAGGAAGUGCACCCGAAACUGGCGAGCUUGAGUACGAAAGAGGAUCGCGGAAUUCCCGGUGUAGAGGUGAAAUUCGUAGAUAUCGAGAGGAACACCGGUGGCGAAGGCGGCCAACUGGACGAAGACUGACGCUGGAGACACGAAAGCCGUGGGGAGCAAACAGG